CCUAGCUACUCCAAAAUUCCCCAUUUCUCCUCUCUUCCACCCAACACUUGCCACCGCCGUCAUAGCCUUUGGACCCAGAUUCGCUAUUGCGAGUUCCAUGGAAGGUCAAUCGUCUUCCUCGGUGGCUAGUAGGCGGAAGAGGCUAGAGCUCCCGCUCAUACAUGUACUUUUUGCAAGCGGCGCACAAUCCUUGAGUUGGAGGUUCAGACCGACGAAAAAGGCAACCGUGGGCACAUCUUUUACAAAUGUCGUAAUCACAAGGUGUCUCUGAUCUCGUUUUGUACUAUGGUUGGCAUCGAGAUGAUACUGGGAGGAGGAUUAUGUGACCUUCUUGGGUACCCGGAAAGGGAAGAUGGCCAUCGAGGAGCUUCUGAGAGGUAGGCUGGAGCUCGAAUCUGUGGCUAUGAAGGAGACGAAAGGAAAGAAAGAGAACACUGGAAAGCAAGAACUGAAGACUGAGGAUUUGGUCAGGCAUAUCAGAUGCUUAGUAGGAAUAGGACAACAAAUAGUUGUGUUACAAAAGUGUAUUCUUGUUGUUUGUGUGUGGAUUCUUAUGGAAUGACUUUGUUGUAAUAAGGAGAUGAAAUUACUUGAAGUUAUUAAAUAAAAUGAGGUUGUUCUAAUUA
Long non-coding RNA from Setaria italica (foxtail millet), 626 nucleotides. RefSeq lists it as uncharacterized. The transcript has 2 exons. The record is from RefSeq and is a predicted model, not a curated record. NCBI's taxonomy places the organism in Eukaryota, Viridiplantae, Streptophyta, Magnoliopsida, Poales, Poaceae.